This 412-nucleotide long non-coding RNA is filed under the name Helianthus annuus (common sunflower). The record is from RNAcentral. Lineage: Eukaryota; Viridiplantae; Streptophyta; Magnoliopsida; Asterales; Asteraceae.
UUAGUGGUGUAAUACCACUGCAUAGUGAUAUCUUAAAAGUUGAGCUAUUAGCUGAUUAUUUUUCUAUAUGGCCAAUUAAGUUCAAAAUAAGACCAAUGGCAUAACACCUAGAAUGUGGCUCAAGAUCGUCGAACUAUAGCAAAUUGGUCUAAAAGACAAUGGGUCACCAACCUAGACCUGCUUGUGGGUUUGCAGGAGGUUCAAAUGGAAACGACAACUUCGUUGUCAUUGCUUAGCAAUUAUCUAUAAAGCACCUCAAAAUAUACUGGAAUGGUUCAAGCAUCCACAAAGACAUCUUUAGAGAAGAAAGCCUUUUAGAAACACUACCUUCAAUCAGUAUGUUCACGUCAGCUUUAAGUUUGGUGGAUAAGCUAUGCUGAUAUCUCAGGCAUUAAUGUUUCUUAUAGCUUGC